RNAcentral lists this ribosomal RNA (253 nucleotides) under uncultured bacterium. Its description in RNAcentral is "partial 16S ribosomal RNA". It matches the Rfam family "Bacterial small subunit ribosomal RNA", at positions 524 to 776 of the family's 1533-position model. The record is from RNAcentral.
UACGUAGGGGGCAAGCGUUGUCCGGAUUUAUUGGGCGUAAAGCGCGCGUAGGCGGCCCAGUAAGUCCGUUGUAAAAGUCAAAGGCUCAACCUUUGAAAGCCGAUGGAUACUGCUGGGCUAGAGUCCGGAAGAGGAGAGUGGAAUUCCUGGUGUAGCGGUGAAAUGCGCAGAUAUCAGGAAGAACACCCGUGGCGAAGGCGGCUCUCUGGGACGGUACUGACGCUGAGACGCGAAAGCGUGGGGAGCGAACAGG